CAAUAGCGUAUAUUAAAGUUGUUGCAGUUAAAAGCUCGUAGUUGGAUUUGUGGCGUACGGUGUGUUCCGGGCACUUGUUGUCUGAGUAACCUGCUGUUGCCAUCCUUGGGUGGAACCUGUGUGGCAUUAGGUUGUCGUGCAGGGGAUGCCCAUCAUUUACUGUGAAAAAAUUAGAGUGUUCAAAGCAGGCUUAUGCCGUUGAAUAUAUUAGCAUGGAAUAAUGAGAUAGGACUUUCUUGCUAUUUUGUUGGUUUGCGCAAAGAGGUAAUGAUUAAUAGGGACAGUUGGGGGUAUUCGUAUUCCAUUGUCAGAGGUGAAAUUCUUGGAUUUUUGGAAGACGAACUACUGCGAAAGCAUUUACCAAGGAUGUUUUCAUUAA
Molecule: ribosomal RNA, 379 nt
Filed under: uncultured eukaryote
Lineage: Eukaryota
Description: partial 18S ribosomal RNA
Rfam family: Eukaryotic small subunit ribosomal RNA
Source: RNAcentral